UACGGGGGGUGCGAGCGUUGUCCGGAAUCACUGGGCGUAAAGGGCGCGUAGGUGGCGUCGUAAGUCUGUGGUGAAAGCCCGGAGCUCAACUCCGGGUCUGCCGCGGAUACUGCGAGGCUUGAGUGCUGUAGAGGGGGGUAGAAUGCCGGGUGUAGCGGUGGAAUGCGUAGAGAUCGGGAAGAAUACCUGUGGCGAAGGCGGCCAGCUGGGCCAGAUCCGACACUGAGGCGCGAAAGCGUGGGGAGCAAACAGG
Molecule: ribosomal RNA, 253 nt
Filed under: uncultured bacterium
Lineage: Bacteria
Description: partial 16S ribosomal RNA
Rfam family: Bacterial small subunit ribosomal RNA
Source: RNAcentral